Molecule: ribosomal RNA, 198 nt
Filed under: uncultured bacterium
Lineage: Bacteria
Description: partial 16S ribosomal RNA
Rfam family: Bacterial small subunit ribosomal RNA
Source: RNAcentral
ACGCUCGACACCUACUGGAGGCAGCAGUGGGGAAUAUUGCACAAUGGGGGAAACCCUGAUGCAGCGACGCCGCGUGAAGGAAGAAGUAUCUCGGUAUGUAAACUUCUAUCAGCAGGGAAGAAAGUGACGGUACCUGACUAAGAAGCCCCGGCUAACUACGUGCCAUCAGCCGCGGUAAUCUGAGGCGGCUGGCAAGGC